ACCCAAACAUCCACCAUCUACCAAAAACAUCUACUGAUCUAAACUGUUUAAUACCUGUUGAUCCACUAAUCCUAUCAAUCCAUGUAAAUAAUUGGUGUAAAAUACAGUUUAUCAUCUUCUCGUGGUCAUCAGAUAUGACCC
Sphaeramia orbicularis (orbiculate cardinalfish) is the source of this 141-nucleotide long non-coding RNA. RefSeq lists it as uncharacterized. The transcript has 3 exons. The record is from RefSeq and is a predicted model, not a curated record. NCBI's taxonomy places the organism in Eukaryota, Metazoa, Chordata, Actinopteri, Kurtiformes, Apogonidae.